This 403-nucleotide ribosomal RNA is filed under the name Fusobacteriota bacterium. RNAcentral describes it as "Fusobacteria bacterium partial 16S ribosomal RNA". It matches the Rfam family "Bacterial small subunit ribosomal RNA", at positions 355 to 776 of the family's 1533-position model. Lineage: Bacteria; Fusobacteriati; Fusobacteriota. The record is from RNAcentral.
UGGGGAAUAUUGCACAAUGGAGGGAACUCUGAUGCAGCGACGCCGCGUGAACGAAGAAGGCUUUCGAGUCGUAAAGUUCUUUUAUAUGGGAAGAUAAUGACGGUACCAUAAGAAAAAGCCCCGGCUAACUACGUGCCAGCAGCCGCGGUAAUACGUAGGGGGCUAGCGUUGUCCGGAAUCACGGGGCGUAAAGGGUUCGCAGGCGGAAAUGCAAGUCAGGUGUAAAAGGCAGUAGCUUAACUACUGUAAGCAUUUGAGACUGCAUAUCUUGAGAAGAGUAGAGGUAAGUGGAAUUUUUAGUGUAGCGGUGAAAUGCGUAGAUAUUAAAAAGAAUACCGGUGGCGAAGGCGACUUGCUGGGCUCAUUCUGACGCUGAGGAACGAAAGCGUGGGUAGCAAACAGG